Molecule: unclassified non-coding RNA, 2894 nt
Filed under: Hevea brasiliensis (rubber tree)
Lineage: Eukaryota; Viridiplantae; Streptophyta; Magnoliopsida; Malpighiales; Euphorbiaceae
Source: RNAcentral
UCUCUCUCUCUCUCUUUUCAAAUUGCAAGUUUGCAGUAUGCAGCACCAAUCAAAGCAGAUCUGCAGCGUGAAUGGUAUACUGGUAUGUAAGCAACAUUCAGUAAUAGCAUAGUAAAUUUCAAUACAUUAGGAUCAUGCGAAUUCAUAUUGCAUUAGGAGCUUUGCAUGCGAAUUUAAAUUGCAUAAGUAGCCUUGCAUUCUUGCAUAAUUCUCCUCUACGAUUAUGUAAUGGAACUGCUCGAAUCCCAGUUCGUAACUCUGAUAUAGGAUAACAUGUUUGACCUGCAAAGUCAUGUUUUCCUGAUGCGUCAUACUCAAAUACUUCAAUUCUGAGCACAGCCAAUUCAGGAACUGUCAGUGAGAAUUCGAACUCCUCAUUCCAAUCCGGUAGCCAGUCAUUUUUUAUUACUCCUGUUUUCCGCUUAGCUUUAUCACCUGGGACUCCAGCAACUGCAAGCUGCAAACUCAUCAAUCAGUCGGUAACAUUUUUGCCAGGUCCGUGUUCCCAAAUGUAGAUUACAUUCUGAGGGAAAUCUAGAAUGUCAACAUGUAAACAAAAUUAUCUGCUGUGACCAAAAAUUACUCCAACCAAACAGACUAAUUUGUAUGCAGAUUACAGAGCAAUAACAGAUUGCCAUAGAUAUGCAGAUUACAGUUGCAAUAACAGAUUGCCAUCGAUAUUCUUACUUUGACAAAGAAGUCAGGUGGAGAAUAUAGAUCAAAAUGGGUUCGGUGAAAAUCCAAAUCCCACCCUUCCCCCAUGAAGACUUUCACCUUCAAAAUUCUUUUUACAAGUAAUUGCUCGGUGGGAUCAAAAACCUUGUUGUUUGGGCCAAGUCGCAAUAAGAAAUCAGGUUUUUUCACAUAACCACAGCGACCAUUGGCUUUAAACAUCCCAUGCAUGACCCAGAGAUGUUUCCCAUAGCCCUGUCAAGGAGGGAUUAAAGAGAGGAAAUGGUAAAUAGAAGCCGUAUAUAAUGCAGAGUGUGGGCGAUUAAUGUCUUGAACAGCCAUCUAAAUCUUCUUGUUGAAAGUUGUUCAUUAAACGUCUUAUAGUGGAAAAAGCCUAGAAUGACAUCUUUACUUAUUUCUUUCUUCCUUUUGCUGUGAGGAGUACUGCCAUUUAUUAUCAGAAGAUAAGCAUGAGAAAAUUAAAAAUUUUUUGAAAUAAAAACACAAGUAGAUCAAAAUUUUGGAGGUUUUGAUGUCAAUUUAGACACCUCAAGAAGAAGAGAAACCUGCAUAUUAAACGCCACCAUUUGAGAUCCAUGAGUCCAACCAACAAAAGGAUUGUAAUUAGAGGAAUCAAGGCGAAGACCCUUGGGGUAUACCCGCAGCAAAUUCCGCUGAGUGAACCUGACAAUGUCGGUUCCAUUUGUUGUAGUAGCAUUUUCAACUUCUUGCUCGCUCAUGCUGAGACGUGCAACUUUGUUUGAAUCAAUGCUCAGCCAGUUUUCUAGUGGACCUUUAAGCUUCCCUGCAUGAAUGGCAAUUAAAUUCCUGUAUUCAAUCUCUUCAUCUUCAUCUGGAAUGUGUUCUAUCUGAACUAGCUGGUCCUUGUCAUCAGUUUCAGUUUCAAUUUCAAUUUCAAUUGUGGAAGCUGCCUUCUCAUCCUCCCAAUGCUCUUUCUUUGAUGAUUUUCUAGACUUUUGUCGAGUGUCUUUUUCCUUGCUAUUCUGAGUUUCAACAUACUCUUUUGGUGGUUUAGUGGAAAUCAUUACUCUUUUCUUCAAUGAUUCUGGAGAAGGAAAUUCCUUCAUUUGAUCUGAUUCAGGACAGAACAACAUCUUUCCAAAUGUUUUAGUGACCAUCUUGGCUACCUUGGACUGAAGAUCUGGAGUUAGAUGGUCCUCAAAAGUUAUUACAACAGGAUAUUCAGAUGCAUGGAAGGCAUUGUCUUUAAUGGCAUGUAAACAUUUGAUGAGUUCCACUGGAGAAGUGAGUGUCCUGCGCUCAUGAAAAAACUUUGAAUGCUUGAGGCAUGCCAAAGUCGUGAACCACCAGAAGCAGAACUGGUCUAAGAUCUUGACCACUCUUUGCUAGUGACUAGUGAGUGAUUUAUUCAUCUUUAUUUUUAUGUUCAAAUUAAUUAUGCAAUGCAGCUUAAUCUGGCUAGAAACUAUUGCUUCCAUGGGGAAAUCUUAUAGAAACUUGCAUGAUAUGAAGAAUAUGAUUUGAUUAGGAGCAAAUUUGUUGUAUUUCCCUGAUUUAAUCCAUGAUAGAAGCCAAUGCAUAACAGGUAUGAUCCUUGUGAACUAUACUAUUGGAAGCAAGUAUACAUUUUACUUUUGUUUUCCUAUGUUCAUUGUCAUCUUUCAUUUAUAAUUUUAAUGAUAUUUAUGUUUUAAGAGAUGAGAUUAAGAUCAAUUAUAUUGCAAAAAUAACUGAAAAUUACGUAUACCCUCCAUGGCGGACUUCCACAUUGUCUUUCUUGGAAUUCGGCCACAAAUCCAAUUCAAUUACUCUCACACCGUUUCGUAGAGCAUUUAUAAUGGGUUCAACACUGCUGUCACUGCUAAGUUGAUUUCCAGUCAAGUAGGAGUUAUGGCCCGUGAACAUGAAAUAAUGAGCCAGUGGGGCUUUCAUGUCUUGGUGAACCCCACUAGAUGGACAGAGAGCAGCAUUGAGAUCGCUCAUAAGAUAUCGGAGGAACGCUUCCAGAUGGAGACCCUUUCUUUGGAAGAUGUUAAGAUACUUGAGGCUGUUGAAGAUGGCAUGAGCAUCAUCCUUGGUGGCUUGUUCGUGUCCUUGAAAUUCCAUAAGAAACUUGUGCAGGUCGUUGAGGGCCAUGAUGCCAUUCUGCGAGUAUUGGUCGAAGAGGAUUUUGACAUAUCUAGGAGGUUCAAGCUUGGACAUCUGUUACAGACAAAGAACUAAGAUGCUCAAGUUUGAAG